This 258-nucleotide ribosomal RNA is filed under the name uncultured bacterium. RNAcentral's name for it is "partial 16S ribosomal RNA". It matches the Rfam family "Bacterial small subunit ribosomal RNA", at positions 793 to 1050 of the family's 1533-position model. The record is from RNAcentral.
GUCCACACCGUAAACGCUGUCUACUAGCUGUUUGUGUAUUAUAUACGUGAGUAGCGAAGCUAACGCGCUAAGUAGACCGCCUGGGGAGUACGGCCGCAAGGUUAAAACUCAAAUGAAUUGACGGGGGCCCGCACAAGCGGUGGAGCAUGUGGUUUAAUUCGAUGCAACGCGAAGAACCUUACCUACACUUGACAUGCAGAGAACUUUCCAGAGAUGGAUUGGUGCCUUCGGGAACUCUGACACAGGUGCUGCAUGGCU